CCUUCUUCAAUAUCAUACAUCACCUUUUCAUGCCUUUAAGGUGGACCAUAGUACUCUAUAGUGGUUAUUUAUUAGGUAAUUGUCUACUUGUGAGGAUUGGCUUGUAAUUGUAUGACGACGUAGAAUUUGUAAUUCUUUGAGUACUAUGUCUCCGUCAACACAUACAAGCAGUUAUAUUGCGUCCAUCAGUCUUCACAGCAGAAAUCUGGUUGUCAUAUCAGCUGUUAAGGUAGAUAUGGAUGGUUCAAGAUAUCCCUCUAAUUCUUCCCUACUUCAUAUUGAGCUUAGAUAUCUCUUUUGUAUACUUCUGUACAUGAAGGCAGUUUAGUAUACAUACGUUCAAUAUGAAGUAGGAAAAAAAUAUGAAGUACCAGUCUCCCUUCUUCAAUAUCAUACAUCACCUUUUCAUGCCUCGCAAGGUGGACCAUAGUACUCUUCAGUGGUUCCUUGGUAAUUGUCUACUUGUGAGGAUUUAGAGUGGCUUGUAAUUGUAUGACGACCAAGAAUUUGUAAUUCUUUGAGUGCUAUCCAUGCCUUCGUCAACACAUACAAGCAGUCAUAUUGCGUCCAUCAGUCUUCACAAAGUAAUCCGGUUGUCAUAUUAGCUGUUAGGGUAGAUAUGUAUGGUUCAAGAUUUCUCUAUUACUCUUCCCUAGUACAUAUUUGAGCUUAGAUACUCUCUUGUAUACUUUUGUACACGAAGACGAAGGCAGUUUGGUAUUCCUACGUUUAAUAUGAAGUAGGAAAGAAUAUGAAGAACCAAUCCCCCUUUUUCAAUAUCAUACAUCACCUUUUCAUGCCUUCAAGGUGGACCAGAGUACUCUUCAGUGGUUCCUUAUAGGUAAUUGUCUACUCGUGAGGAUUUAGAGUGGCUUGUAAUUGUUUGACGACCAAGAAUUUGUAAUUCUUUGAGUACUUUGCCUCUGUCAACACAUACAAGCAGUCAUAUUGCGUCCAUCAGUCUUUACAAUAGAAAUCUGGUUGUCAUAUCAGCUGUUAGGGUGGAUACGAAUGGUUCACGAUCUCUCUCGUAUUCUUCCCCACUUCAUAUUUGAGCUUAGAUAUAUCUCUUGUAUACUUUUGUACAUGAAGGCAGUUUAGUAUACCUAUGUUCAAAUUGAAGUGGGCAAGAAUAUGAAGUACCAGUCUCCCUCUUCAAUAUCGGACAUUGCCUUUUCAUGCCUUCAAGGUGGACCAUAGUACUCUUCAGUGGUUACUUAUAGGUAAUUGUCUACUUGUGAGGAUUUAGAGUGGCUUGUAAUUGUCUGACAACCAAGAAUUUGUAAUUCUUUGAGUACUAUGCUUUCGUCAACACAUACUAGCAGUCAUAUUGCGUUCAUCAGUCUUCACAAUAGAAAUUCAGUUGUCAUUUCAGCUGUUAGGGUAGAUAUGGAUGGUUCAAGAUAUCUCUCUUAUUCUUCCCUACUUCAUAUUUGUGCUUAGAUAUUUCUCUUUUGUACUUUUGUACACGAAGACGAAGGCAGUUUAGUAUUUCUAUGUUCCAUAUGAAGUAGGAACUAGGAAAGAAUAUAAAGUACCAGUGUCCCUUCUUCAAUAUCAUACAUCACCUUUUCAUGCCUUUAAGGUGGACCAUAGCACUGUUCAGUGGUUCCUCAUAGGUAAUUGUCUAGUUGUGAGGAUCUCAAUAGCAUUGUUGUUGGAGUGAAUUCAAUACAAAUAGCUAAUGAUUAUAUUGGAAUAUUGAGGGAAUGUCUGAUGAUACCUUUUUACUUUGUUACCAGUAGAGGAACAAUGCAUGGGAGGAAAGAGGGAGAAGGGUGAAUGGGGAUGGUGUGAGGGAGAAGGAAAAAUGAAAGAGAAUGCACCAUUCAAUAUACAUGUCCUCCACCUCCUUUCUACCAUCCUUAGUCAUCCCUCAUUGCUCCCAUAUCUUUCAUCUCUAUAUCUAUACCUUUUUACUUUUAGAAAAACAUCAUAUAUAAUAGCUUGGUGCCAAAAAAGCGUUCUUUUGUGUUUUCGGUGGCUC
Molecule: long non-coding RNA, 1987 nt
Filed under: Malus domestica (apple)
Lineage: Eukaryota; Viridiplantae; Streptophyta; Magnoliopsida; Rosales; Rosaceae
Description: long non-coding RNA (MDOM_LNC010984)
Source: RNAcentral